Spermophilus dauricus (Daurian ground squirrel) is the source of this 63-nucleotide small nucleolar RNA. NCBI's taxonomy places the organism in Eukaryota, Metazoa, Chordata, Mammalia, Rodentia, Sciuridae. The record is from Ensembl.
GGUAAUGAUGAUUCCAGGUGAUUCUGAGCGAGUCGCUGAUGCCAUCACCGCAGCGCGCUGACA